CGGAGGAGCCCCAAGGAGGCCCGCCUGACCACUGACCGGUUGCCAUGGCAUCCUACUACGAGAUUCUAGAUGUGCCGCGAAGUGCGUCCGCUGAUGACAUCAAGAAGGCGUACCUGCGCAAGGCUCUCCAGUGGCACCCAGACAAAAACCCAGAUAAUAAAGAGUUUGCAGAGAAGAAAUUUAAGGAGGUGGCCGAGGCAUAUGAAGUGCUGUCUGACAAGCACAAGCGAGAGGUGUAUGACUGCUAUGGUCGGGAAGGGCUGACAGGGGCAGGAACUGGCCCGUCUCGGGCAGAAGCUGGCAGUGGUGCACCUGGCUUCACCUUCACCUUCCGCAGCCCCGAGGAGGUCUUCCGGGAGUUCUUUGGGAAAGGAGAUCCUUUUGCAGAGCCCCUGAUGACCGGCGCCUUUUCUCAGAGCUUCAGAGCCGGGGUUCCCGACACUCAGGCCCCUUCUUUACCUUCUCUUCCUCCUUCCCUGGUCAGUCCGAUUUCUCCUACUCAUCUUUCUCCUUCAGUCCCAGGGCUGGUGCUUUUCACUCUGUUUCUACAUCUACCACCUUUGUCCAAGGACGCCGCAUCACCACACGCAGAAUCACGGAGAACGGGCAGGAGCCGGUGGAAGUGGAAGAGGACUGGCAGCUGAAGUCAGUCACAAUCAAUGGUGUCCCAGAUGACCUGGCACUGGGCUUGGAGCUGAGCCGUCGCGAGCAGCAGCCGUCAGUCACCUCCAGGUCCGGGGGCACUCAGGUCCAGCAGACCCCUGCCUCAGGCCCCUUGGACAGUGACCUCUCUGAUGAUGAGGACCUGCAGCUGGCCAUGGCCUACAGCCUGUCAGAGAUGGAGGCAGCUGGGAAGAAACCCGCAGAUGUGUUCUGAGCCGGAUGCCGGGAUCCAGAGUCGUUGCACAGUUCCAACAGGACAGCGCCCUCCCCCAUGUGCUGGGAGGGGACCCUCCAUUCCUCUCCCUCACCCUUGCUGAGUGUAGAGCCGGGGCCUGGGUGGUGGGUGGGGGCUGGGUGGGAGGCAGCAGUAGUCUUAGCCUGUGCACUCUCUUCCUUGGGUGUUUGGUGCUGGCCCCUGGGGACUACAAAUCCCAGAAUGCGGUGCGCCCGGCCCCAUUUCUGAUAGAUCCCGCUUGGGGGAGUUGGUGCCUAGUUAUGGAGCUGUGCAUCUUGGGACAUGUAGUAGCCCAGGUCGGCCUGUCACUCACUGUGAGAUGGGAAGAUUUUGUCUUUUGAUUUAUCCCUGGAGGGCCGGCAAGGUCGUAGAUGAAGGGGGAAUGAUCUGAGCCUUGGUUCCUCUGACACGUCUUGCUAGCCCCAGGGUUAGAGUGGGCAGGGCAGAGCCGUGCAGCACCUGGGAGAGGUUCCCUUCCCGUGGGCAGCCUGGGGUCCCAGGAACAAGCCAGGGCCAGUAGCAUGUUUGCCUGAGCAGGGCGUGGCUCCGGAAAGCUGAGGAGUGUGUGCUGGCAGAGAGCUUCGAGGGCAAGGCCACCCGAGGGGGCGUGUGUGUGGCGGGGCUUGGCGUGUGAUGGCAGCUCCAGGCAUGCCGCUGCUUGUAUGGCUUUCUUUGGCCUCUGACCCUGCUGCCCAUUCUUUCCAACAUCACAGACGAGCAGCCCCUCCUCCUCCCUGCCUGGGGAGCCCGGUGGCCAGGGAGGGGAGUGGUGGAGCCAGCUUCUGUAACACUGAGUCUCAGAGACGAACCAAAGCCAGCUGGGCUCAGCUCAGACAGAGGGGAAAAUGCUGGAAGGCAAUAAAACUGUUUUGAGAAAAAA
RNA transcript from Cebus imitator (Panamanian white-faced capuchin), 1778 nucleotides. It is a transcript of the gene named dnaJ homolog subfamily B member 2-like, with no coding region annotated. The record is from RefSeq and is a predicted model, not a curated record. The transcript has a single exon. NCBI's taxonomy places the organism in Eukaryota, Metazoa, Chordata, Mammalia, Primates, Cebidae.